Molecule: ribosomal RNA, 353 nt
Filed under: Simulium meridionale
Lineage: Eukaryota; Metazoa; Arthropoda; Insecta; Diptera; Simuliidae
Description: partial 12S rRNA
Source: RNAcentral
CAAUAAUUUGUUUUAUUUUUGUUAUUAAUCUUAUUUAAUGUUUAUUUUACAUGUAAAUUUUUGUGAGAAUUGGUUUUUAUCUAAAAGAUAAGUAUCCUAUAAAUUAUUCGCAGUAAUUAAUAUUAUAAAUAAAAGUAAUUUUGAUUUAGUAAUAUAUUUUAGUAUUGGUAAAUUUUGUGCCAGCAACCGCGGUUAUACAAAUAAUGCAAAUAAGAUUUAUUAGUAAUAGUUAAUUUGUUUUUAAUAAAAUUAAUUUAAAUUUUUUAAGUGAAAUUUUAAAUUUAAUUAAUUUUAUAAUUUAUGUUGAUGAAGCUAAGAAAUUUUAAUUGUAAACUAGGAUUAGAUACCCUAUU